This is a long non-coding RNA of Thunnus maccoyii (southern bluefin tuna), 2795 nucleotides long. RefSeq lists it as uncharacterized. The record is from RefSeq and is a predicted model, not a curated record. NCBI's taxonomy places the organism in Eukaryota, Metazoa, Chordata, Actinopteri, Scombriformes, Scombridae. The transcript is spliced from 3 exons.
CUACCAUUAUGGUUGUCAUGCAGCUCUGACAGUAGAAGCCUGUAGAAUAAGCAGAUGAUGCAAGUCAUAAGUUUUUCCAUCAUGUGAAAAAUGUCGUUUUGAGGUGGAUGUGCCCAGUAGGGAAAUGAAGGUGUGUCGAGUUCAUGGGUGUCCUGAACAUGGUUCACCACUCGGCCUCCAUCACAUCAGAAUCUCCUUUAGCAUUGGAAGCUGCAGUCCAGUACAGGUGGUUGAUGAUGGCUGGCUGCUUCAGGUCCUCCAGUCCUGCUCCUUCAUGCCUGCAUCCAAAGCCUCCCUGGAUCUGUUUCAGAACAGAAACAAUAUGUUGAAAUAAAAUGUUAGACAUAAAAAACAGCCAACUAAACUACAAACAUCAGGAUACAAACUUUUACCAAUAUGCCAGACAUUUAAGAAAUGGUGUGUUCCUUCUUGACACACUAUGACAAAAGAUGUGGGAUAUCAAAGGAACUGAAGGUGUUUACAUGAUGUUGAGCCGUCAUCAGAUGCUGCUGAGCAAUCAGCUGGCACACCUGGUAUUUAUUAGCUGUUUCCUGACACCUCUAGCUGCUCCUGAGGAUGGUCUCAAAGUUACACAGAAAGCUUGAAACUACCCGUGUCUGUCCUUUUUGAGAGUAACUCUUACUUUAAAUAACAGUGCAACGUCAUACAUACACUAUUAUGCUGGAGAACAUGGUGAAGGUCAAUCAUUAAUAACUGUGUGAUAUGGAACAAAUGCAGCUAACGUUAGAUAUGAGAGGCCCUCAGAGACACCACCACUCAUUACUACAACAUCUCCCAAAACCUUAUAUCACAGCUACAUAACACAAAUGUUUCAGCUGAGCAAACAGAAAGUCACAAAGUUAUGUAACUAGAUACCAGGAUCCUGCGUUAGAUAACAGAACUUAAUUAACAUCAUGCUGUGUCAAAUGGUAACCGCCUUUACAAAAUAGGAUGCUAACAAUGUUAGCCAGCUGUUAACUAACGUUAGCAUUAUCCCUCGUCAGCUAGCAGGUUAGGUGUGCUGCCUAACAACAAUCAAAACUCCACAUAUCAAAACAGGAGGAAGCUCUGCAUGGUUCUGAUGGCUCAUGUGACAGGUGCUCUUUAGUAGGGCAGGUGAAAACACACAAAAAAGCAGAAUCCAGGAAGUCUUGCUGAAUAUUAGGCCUUAAGUUGCGCAGACAGCCAUGGAAAAAAAAACGAAACUCCAUCUUCAAGUGAAAUAAUGCAUUUAUUCUUUGAGCAUAGGCAAUCAAACAGACCAAUGCGUUACCGACUCUACAUCUUCAUCAGGGUCUGAUGACCUGAAAAACUUCCUGGGUUCUGCUUUUUUAACAAUAAAAACUCGUCAGACAUAACUUCUUAAUUCAAGCCAGUGUCCUGACUGAUUUGUAAGUUAAAAAUAUUAGAAACAAGAACUUACCAGAACAGUUCAUGUCUUCUUGAGCUGAGUCUCUCCGGUCGGCACUGAGCUGCUGCUUAAGGCGGAGCUGAUGAGGCAGCUGUGUUUACCGGAGGAACCGUACUAGCUAUCAGCCUCACACAGUCCUAGUUUGACGUCCCAUCCUGAACUUCAUCAUAUCACAAAUAACAUAACCCUCCUGUCUAAAAUGGGCCUGCACACAACUGUGUUCUUCCGUUACAGAGGCAGCAAUGAAGACUUCACCUGCACAAAACUCAGCCGGGCACAAAAACUAGCUGCUGCUUUUCCUGCUAGGAAAGUGGACAUCAGGUCCUGAAAGGCUGGAAUUUGUGCAUCCUGAACAACCACAAUUAUUCACAGUGAUGAAAAAUGAUAAAAUGCAAAACAAAACUAGAAACAAACAAAAAAAAAGAAAUACAAAUUCACUUAAUGACGACUGCUCAGACUCAUUCGUACUUAGUACAGCACAGUGUACUGCAGCUGGGACAGGGAGAGGGACUCCCUCUAGUGACGUAAUAUGACGCAUUGUUGAAAAAAGGCUUGUUUUAAGGGUGCUGCUCAAAAUGCUAACUUUUCAGUCUGAAUUUCUACCUUUAUGUUUCGUUAAACUAAUCAAAUCACACAUUAACCUUUCACUGGAUAAUUUUCAUGAUAAAUAUACUGUAAAUCCAGUAAAAACUCUUUAAGUCUGGGCAGAGACAGUGUUAGAUUGUGUGUUGUUAGUUUUAGCUUUAUAAGCUUUAUUGCUCUUGUGUUGUUGUGAAUUGACGGACCACUGAGUCCCUUUGCUCUGCUAUAUUCCGAGGAGUAUUUGAAGUUUCCUGCCUGUUUAGUUGUGUUUGGCCCACUUGGGACUGCUGUGUUUGUGUCACCGGGAGUGAGAAAAUGUCUCCUGUUUGUCUGGUAGCCUAACGCUUUUUGGGUGGGUCAGUGACCGGCGUAGGUCAAGUCGAUCUGCAAAAGGUUCCGCGAUGCACACGCGCUGCUCACGCAGCCUGUGUGUCCCAGGCGUAAUGCAUGAGAACUGCAAGGAGAAGGAGAGGGAGUGAGGAAGAUGCAGGUGAGAGAUAUGGUCCACAACCAGGUUAUUAUAGUUUACAUUAAUACAGAGAGAAUGAGGAUACAGCCAUUUCAUACAGGAGAGCAGCGUGGCUUUACCUAUGUACGCAGAGGUUCAUAUGAGGCAGCUGUCACUGUAUAGAGACUCCAAUCUACACUUCACUGAUAAACUGAGAAUUAGACAGAGUUACCAUCAUAUUAUAUGAUGUAGGCCUGCUAGGAUAAUUUAUAUCUAAUGACUUUGGCCAAAGAACCUCACACAAGGCAGAAAGCCAAAACAGAAGAAAGGGGCGGCGCUGGCCCAAAAAAGACU